GGUGCCAGCCGCCGCGGUAACACCGGCAGCUCUAGUGGUAGCAAUUUUUAUUGGGCCUAAAGCGUCCGUAGCCGGUUUAAUAAGUCUCUGGUGAAAUCCUGCAGCUUAACUGUGGGAAUUGCUGGAGAUACUAUUAGACUUGAGAUCGGGAGAGGUUAGAGGUACUCCCAGGGUAGAGGUGAAAUUCUGUAAUCCUGGGAGGACCGCCUGUUGCGAAGGCGUCUAACUGGAACGAUUCUGACGGUGAGGGACGAAAGUUAGGGGCGCGAACCGGAUUAGAUACCCGGGUAGUCCUAACUGUAAACGAUGCGGACUUGGUGUUGGGGUGGCUUUGAGCUGCUCCAGUGCCGAAGGGAAGCUGUUAAGUCCGCCGCCUGGGAAGUACGGUCGCAAGACUGAAACUUAAGGAAUUGGCGGGGGAGCACCACAACGCGUGGAGCCUGCCGGUUUAAUCGGAUUCAACGCCGGACAUCUCACCAGAGGCGACAGCUGUAUGAUAGCCAGGUUGAUGACUUUGCUUGACUAGCUGAGAAGAGGUGCAUGG
RNAcentral lists this ribosomal RNA (544 nucleotides) under uncultured archaeon. Its description in RNAcentral is "bacterial SSU rRNA". It matches the Rfam family "Archaeal small subunit ribosomal RNA", at positions 454 to 997 of the family's 1478-position model. The record is from RNAcentral.